GGGUUUACCCAUUGGUCAGGCUUAAUUGUCUGCACUGGUGAGAUAAAUCUCUAUCUUCUGAGGAACUUUCAUGUCAUUAGUUUGGUGUGAUUGGAAAUCAGGACUGUUACCUUGAAAAAAUUAGAGUGUUCAAAGCAGGCCUUUGCUCGAAUACAUUAGCAUGGAAUAAUAGAAUAGGACAUCGGUUCUAUUUUGUUGGUUUCUAGGACCGCUGUA
This 216-nucleotide ribosomal RNA is filed under the name Campeiostachys nutans. RNAcentral's name for it is "Elymus nutans partial small subunit ribosomal RNA". The stretch from base 44 to 216 matches the Rfam family "Eukaryotic small subunit ribosomal RNA", at positions 689 to 864 of the family's 1831-position model. Lineage: Eukaryota; Viridiplantae; Streptophyta; Magnoliopsida; Poales; Poaceae. The record is from RNAcentral.